GACGAACGCUGGCGGCGUGCUUAACACAUGCAAGUCGAACGGAGAACCUCUUCGGAGGGGAUCAGUGGCGAAGGGGCGAGUAAGACGGGGGCAAGCUGCCCACGGCUCUGGGAUAACUCCAAGAAAUCGGGGCUAAUACGGGAAGAUCACCGCAUCCCGCAUGGGUGGUGGUGGAAAGGGUGUCCGGCGGGGGAUGGGCCCGCGGCCUAGCAGCUGGGUGGUGGAGUAGUGGCGUCCGACGGCGGCGACGGGUAGCCCGCCAGGGAGGGUGGCCGGCCACACUGGGACUGCGGCACGGCCCAGUAUCGUAUGGGCGGCAGCAGUGGGGAAUCUUGCGGAGUGGGCCGAAGCCUGACGCAGCGACGCCGCGUGGGUGAUGCCGUCCUUCGGGUUGUAAACCUCUGUCAGCGGGGCCGAAGCCCAAUUGACGGUACCUGCAGAGGAAGCCCCGGCCAACUACGUG
Molecule: ribosomal RNA, 463 nt
Filed under: uncultured bacterium
Lineage: Bacteria
Description: partial 16S ribosomal RNA
Rfam family: Bacterial small subunit ribosomal RNA
Source: RNAcentral